This is a long non-coding RNA of Ictalurus punctatus (channel catfish), 2036 nucleotides long. Lineage: Eukaryota; Metazoa; Chordata; Actinopteri; Siluriformes; Ictaluridae. The record is from Ensembl.
UGAAUGGAAAGAUGGACAGAUAGAUGGAUGAACAUAAUUGGGUGGAGGGAUGGAUGGAUAGAUGAUUGGAUUAACGGAUGGAUGGAUGGAUUCUGAGGUAAGUAGAGAGAGAGACCCCCAAAAAAACAGCCCACGCGACCUUGUCAACUCCAAUCACAGAGGAGAGAGAGAGAGAGAGAGAGAGAGAGAGAGAGAGAGAGAGAGAUGGGGGCGCAAUCUAGCGGCAGCAGCAGAGUGUCAGAGCGCGCGAGUGACCGAGACGCUGUGCGCUCUCUCUCUCGCUCUCUCUCUCUCUCUCUCUCUCUCGCGCCCGCGCUCUUCUCUCCUCCGCUCUCCGGUCCUCUCUGUGUCUCGUGCGCUCUCUCAUUGGAUCUCCUGCGUCUCGCGCUCACUGUUUCUGAGGCGCUGCUCCCAAAACCGACCAAACGACCAGCGGAUAUUUGGCCUUUUCCCUUCUACAACAAAAACAACAACAACAACAGGAGCGACAACAUCCCAGUCCGGCGGCGCAGCAGGAUACAGCAGCGCUCACGCGGAAAGGGGAGGUCGGGGGCCGCCGUUAUUAACGGAGGAAGCCGCCGAGCAGACAGGCUCGUUUGGUUCCUGCCAGUCUGAACGCCAUGACACCGUCUGAGAGAGUGUUGCUUUGCGUGAAGGCUUCGGAAGUCGGGGCACCUCUGAUUUCUCUAGUGAUCAGACACAGACGAGGAACAGAUGUUCAGAAGUUUGCUGAACCAUGGUAUCAUAAGCUGAGUGACUGAUAACACGAUGUACGUGUCAUCUUAAAAAUAUUCGGUGUAGAAUGAUUAAUAUGGUUUUUAAGUCUCUGGAUGCAGUGAAAAUGGCCUUGUAAUGUCUCUGUACAUCUAUCAUCAUAAUAUAGCCUCAUGGUUCUUCUCCACUGUGAAGGAGGUGUGGCUUGUGUUCUUCUCUAUAAUGAAGGAGGUGUGGCUUGUGUUCUUCUCUAUAAUGAAGGAGGUGUGGCCUGUGUUCUUCUCUAUAAUGAAGGAGGUGUGGCUUGUGUUCUUCUCUAUAAUAAAGGAGGUGUGGCUUGUGUUCUUCUACAUAUUUAAGAAGGUGUGGCUUGUGUUCUUCUCCAUUGUGAAGCAGGUGUGGCUUGUGUUCUUCUCCAUAUUUAAGGAGGUGUGGCCUGUUCUUCUCCAUAUUUAAGGAGGUGUGGCCUGUUCUUCUCCAUAUUUAAGGAGGUGUGGCCUGUUCUUCUCCAUAUUUAAGGAGGUGUGGCCUGUUCUCCAUAUUUAAGGAGGUGUGGCUUGUGUUCUUCUCCAUAGUGAAGGAGGUGUGGCUUGUGUUCUUCUCCAUUGUGAAAGAGGUGUGGCUUGUGGUGUUCUCCAUAUUUAAUGAGGUGUGGCCUGUGUUCUCCAUGGUGAAGGACGUGUGGCAUCUGUUCUUCUCCAUAUUUAAGGAGGUGUGGCCUGUGUUCUUCUCCAUGGCGAAGGACGUGUGGCCUCUGUUCUUCUCUAUAGUAAAGGAGGUGUGGCCUCUGUUCUUCUCUAUAGUAAAGGAGGUGUGGCCUCUGUUCUUCUCUAUAGUAAAGGAGGUGUGGCCUCUGUUCUUCUCUAUAGUAAAGGAGGUGUGGCCUCUGUUCUUCUCUAUAGUAAAGGAGGUGUGGCCUCUGUUCUUCUCUAUAGUAAAGGAGGUGUGGCCUCUGUUUCCCAAUGAAGGAGGUGUUUGUCUCUGUAUCUAUCAGUCCCAGUGAAGAAGGUGUGGCCGCUGUAUUUCUCCAUCAUAAUGAAAGAGGUGCAGCUUGUGUGCCUCUCCAUCCCAGUAAAGGACUGUGUCCUUUGUGCCUCUUAUUCCCAGUGAAAAAGACGUGGCUUCUUUAUCUGUUCGUCACAGUGAAGGAGGUGUAAUUGUGAAUUUGUGCUGUUCUGAAAAGGGUGAUAUUGGGCUGUACCGUUAUUAACCCUGAAUUUUUCACACCUCUCCUCUGGUCCAAAGAGUUAGGUAGUAAAGCGUUUGAUUAUUUCCUGUACGCAGGAUAAACACAAGUUUUCAUUCCAUUGCAUCAUUUUCUU